Molecule: ribosomal RNA, 464 nt
Filed under: uncultured bacterium
Lineage: Bacteria
Description: partial 16S ribosomal RNA
Rfam family: Bacterial small subunit ribosomal RNA
Source: RNAcentral
CCUACGGGCGGCAGCAGUGGGGAAUCUUCCGCAAUGGGCGAAAGCCUGACGGAGCAACGCCGCGUGAUCGAAUGAAGGCCUUCGGGUUGUAAAGAUCUGUUGAGAGGGACGAAUAAGCAAUGCGAAUAGUUUUGUGUAUGACGGUCCCUGAUUAGAAAGCUCCGGCUAACUACGUGCCAGCAGCCGCGGUAAUACGGAGGGGGCAAGCGUUGUCCGGAAUUACUGGGCGUAAAGGGCGCGUAGGUGGGCGCUUAAGUCAGGUGUGAAAAUUCCGGGCUCAACCUGGAGACUGCACUGGAAACUGGGGGCCUUGAGGGCAGGGGAGGAAAGUGGAAUUCCUGGUGUAGCGGUGAAAUGCGUAGAUAUCAGGAGGAACACCAGUGGCGAAGGCGACUUUCUGGACGGUAACUGACGCUGAGGCGCGAAAGCGUGGGUAGCGAACGGGAUUAGAUACCCGUGUAGUC